CCCGCUGAACUUAAGCAUAUCAAUAAGCGGAGGAAAAGAAACUAACAAGGAUUCCCCUAGUAACGGCGAGUGAAGAGGGAAGAGCUCAAAUUUUGAAUCUGGCGUCUUUGGCGUCCGAAUUGUAAUCUAGAGAGGUGUUUUCCGUGACGGACCGUGCACAAGUCUCCUGGAAUGGAGCGUCAUAGAGGGUGAGAAUCCCGUAUAUGGCAUGGACUGCCGUUGCUCUGUGAUACACUCUCGACGAGUCGAGUUGUUUGGGAAUGCAGCUCUAAAUGGGUGGUAAAUGCCAUCUAAAGCUAAAUAUUGGCGAGAGACCGAUAGCGAACAAGUACCGUGAGGGAAAGAUGAAAAGCACUUUGGAAAGAGAGUGAAACAGUACGUGAAAUUGUUGAAAGGGAAACGCUUGAAGUCAGUCGCGCCGUUCGGGAUUCAGCCUUGCUUCUGCUCGGUUUACUUCCUGUUGGGUGGGUCAACAUCAGUUUUGGUCGGAGGAGAAAGGCUUGGGGAAUGUGGCAGCAUUCGUGCUGUGUUAUAGCCCCUUGUUGUAUACUUCGGCUGGGACUGAGGACCGCAGCACGCCUUUGGCCGGGGUUCGCCCACGUACGUGCUUAGGAUGUUGGCAUAAUGGCUUUAAGCGACCCGUCUUGAAAACACG
RNAcentral lists this ribosomal RNA (655 nucleotides) under uncultured fungus. RNAcentral's name for it is "eukaryotic LSU rRNA". It matches the Rfam family "Eukaryotic large subunit ribosomal RNA", at positions 24 to 663 of the family's 3401-position model. Lineage: Eukaryota; Fungi. The record is from RNAcentral.